AAACUCGGAUUAAUACCGGAUAUUCUUAUUUAAUCACAUGAUUUUUAAAGGAAAGGUCAGCCGAACUAAGAUGGGCUCGCGUUCUAUCAGCUAGUUGGUAGGGUAAUGGCCUACCAAGGCUACGACGGAUAGCUGGUCUGAGAGGACGAUCAGCCACACUGGGACUGAGACACGGCCCAGAAUUCUACGGGAGGCUGCAGCAGGGAAUAUUGCGCAAUGAGCGAAAGCUUGACGCAGCCACACCGCGUGUGGGAUGACGGAUCUAGGUUUGUAAACCAUUUUCAGGAGGGAAGAAAAUGACGGUCCCUCC
RNAcentral lists this ribosomal RNA (310 nucleotides) under uncultured bacterium. RNAcentral's name for it is "bacterial SSU rRNA". It matches the Rfam family "Bacterial small subunit ribosomal RNA", at positions 154 to 482 of the family's 1533-position model. The record is from RNAcentral.